RNAcentral lists this ribosomal RNA (870 nucleotides) under uncultured archaeon. RNAcentral's name for it is "bacterial SSU rRNA". It matches the Rfam family "Archaeal small subunit ribosomal RNA", at positions 50 to 924 of the family's 1478-position model. The record is from RNAcentral.
CAUGCUAGUUGCGCGACUUAGAUCGCAGCGGAAGCUCAGUAACACGUGGCCAAACUACCCUGCAGAGGAGCAUAAUCUCGGGAAACUGAGGCUAAUACUCCAUACCGCACUCACGUUGGAAUACCGAGUGCCCAAAACGCUUCGGCGCUGCAGGAUGUGGCUGCGGCCGAUUAGGUAGACGGUGGGGUAACGGCCCACCGUGCCGAUAAUCGGUACGGGUUGUGAGAGCAAGAGCCCGGAGACGGAAUCUGAGACAAGAUUCCGGGCCCUACGGGGCGCAGCAGGCGCGAAACCUUUACACUGCACGACAGUGCGAUAAGGGGACCCCAAGUGCGAGGGCAUACAGUCCUCGCUUUUGUGUACCGUAAGGUGGUACACGAAUAAGAGCUGGGCAAGACCGGUGCCAGCCGCCGCGGUAAUACCGGCAGCUCAAGUGAUGACCGAUUUUAUUGGGCCUAAAGCGUCCGUAGCUGGCCGCGUAGGUUCGUCGGGAAAUCCAUCCGCCCAACGGAUGGGCGUCCGGCGAAAACCACGUGGCUUGGGACCGGAAGGCUCGAGGGGUACGUCGGGGGUAGGGGUGAAAUCCCGUAAUCCUGGACGGACCGCCGAUGGCGAAAGCACCUCGAGAAGACGGAUCCGACAGUGAGGGACGAAAGCUGGGGUCUCGAACCGGAUUAGAUACCCGGGUAGUCCCAGCCGUAAACAAUGCCUGUUAGGUGUGGCACCGACUACGAGUCGGUGCUGUGCCGUAGGGAAGCCGAUAAACAGGCCGCCUGGGAAGUACGUCCGCAAGGAUGAAACUUAAAGGAAUUGGCGGGGGAGCACUACAACCGGAGGAGCCUGCGGUUUAAUUGGAUUCAACGCCGGGAA